RNAcentral lists this ribosomal RNA (253 nucleotides) under uncultured bacterium. RNAcentral describes it as "partial 16S ribosomal RNA". It matches the Rfam family "Bacterial small subunit ribosomal RNA", at positions 524 to 776 of the family's 1533-position model. The record is from RNAcentral.
UACGUAGGGUGCAGGCGUUAAUCGGAAUUACUGGGCGUAAAGCGUGCGCAGGCGGUUUCUUAAGUCAGAUGUGAAAGCCCCGGGCUUAACCUGGGAACCGCGUUUGAAACUGGGAGACUUGAGUGUGGCAGAGGGGGGUGGAAUUCCACGUGUAGCAGUGAAAUGCGUAGAUAUGUGGAGGAACACCGAUGGCGAAGGCAGCCCCCUGGGUUAACACUGACGCUCAUGCACGAAAGCGUGGGGAGCAAACAGG